Molecule: non-coding RNA, 387 nt
Organism: Morone saxatilis (striped sea-bass)
Lineage: Eukaryota; Metazoa; Chordata; Actinopteri; Moronidae
Product: small Cajal body-specific RNA 2
Exons: 1
Source: RefSeq, a predicted model, not a curated record
GCAUUUAGCUUUAAAACCAACCCGGAUGUUCCUGUUUCUCAUAGUUUGAAUGGCUUGUAUGGGCGAGUGUUUGGUGAGUGUUUGCGUGAGCGAAAGUGGAGUGAACGUUUGUAUGAUUGUUUGUAUGAUUGUGUUCUCCUAUAAAAACCUACACAGUGAUCUUAUUUGAUCUGGUCUGAGUUUGGCUCUGCUCGGACCGGAGAUGAUAGGAAACCCGCUCGCUAGCCUCCAUGGCGAUGAGCAGCUGGCAGUUAACAUCCAGGGCCUCCACGCUUUUAAGUUGUGGGCAGAGGUGAUGAAUUGAUCAGAUAUACUAGUUCGGAGUGAGUUUGGGGUUCGCCCCAAGCUUCACAAUGGACAAUGAGUAAAGAGGCGAUUCUGAUCUGA